Molecule: ribosomal RNA, 253 nt
Filed under: uncultured bacterium
Lineage: Bacteria
Description: partial 16S ribosomal RNA
Rfam family: Bacterial small subunit ribosomal RNA
Source: RNAcentral
UACGUAGGGUGCAAGCGUUACUCGGAAUUACUGGGCGUAAAGCGUGCGUAGGCGGUUCGUUAAGUCUGUCGUGAAAGCCCUGGGCUCAACCUGGGAAUUGCGAUGGAUACUGGCGAGCUAGAGUACGGUAGAGGAUGGUGGAAUUCCCGGUGUAGCGGUGAAAUGCGUAGAGAUCGGGAGGAACACCCGUGGCGAAGGCGGCCAUCUGGACCAGUACUGACGCUGAGGCACGAAAGCGUGGGGAGCAAACAGG